RNAcentral lists this ribosomal RNA (205 nucleotides) under uncultured bacterium. RNAcentral describes it as "partial 16S ribosomal RNA". It matches the Rfam family "Bacterial small subunit ribosomal RNA", at positions 1288 to 1500 of the family's 1533-position model. The record is from RNAcentral.
CGGUUCGGAUCGGAGUCUGCAACCCGACUCCGUGAAGCUGGAUUCGCUAGUAAUCGCGCAUCAGCCAUGGCGCGGUGAAUACGUUCCCGGGCCUUGUACACACCGCCCGUCAAGCCAUGGGAGCCGGGGGGUGCUUGAAGUGCGUCGCCGCAAGGCGCGCCCUAGAGCAAAACCGGUGACUGGGGCUAAGUCGUAACAAGGUAGC